This 475-nucleotide ribosomal RNA is filed under the name uncultured bacterium. Its description in RNAcentral is "bacterial SSU rRNA". It matches the Rfam family "Bacterial small subunit ribosomal RNA", at positions 328 to 793 of the family's 1533-position model. The record is from RNAcentral.
CUCUGUGACUCCUACGGGGAGGCAGCAGUGGGGAAUAUUGCACAAUGGGGGAAACCCUGAUGCAGCCAUGCCGCGUGUGUGAAGAAGGCCUUCGGGUUGUAAAGCACUUUCAGUAGGGAGGAAGGUAGUGUAGUUAACACCUGCACUAUUUGACGUUACCUACAGAAGAAGCACCGGCUAACUCCGUGCCAGCAGCCGCGGUAAUACGGAGGGUGCGAGCGUUAAUCGGAAUUACUGGGCGUAAAGCGCAUGCAGGCGGCCUGUUAAGUCAGAUGUGAAAGCCCGGGGCUUAACCUCGGAAUUGCAUUUGAAACUGGCAGGCUAGAGUCUUGUAGAGGGGGGUAGGAAUUUCAGGUGUAGCGGUGAAAUGCGUAGAGAUCUGAAGGAAUACCAGUGGCGAAGGCGGCCCCCUGGACAAAGACUGACGCUCAGAUGCGAAAGCGUGGGGAGCAAACAGGAUUUGAUACCCUGGUAG